Long non-coding RNA from Xenopus laevis (African clawed frog), 556 nucleotides. RefSeq lists it as uncharacterized. NCBI's taxonomy places the organism in Eukaryota, Metazoa, Chordata, Amphibia, Anura, Pipidae. The transcript is spliced from 2 exons. The record is from RefSeq and is a predicted model, not a curated record.
GCUUAGAAUUGGUUGUUCUAUAACAUAAUAAAAGUUACCUUAAAGGUGAACCACCCCUUUAACCCAUCUGUUGUGUCCCCUUUAUCAUUUGCUAGCGAUUUAGUCUUUCAGUCUGUCCGUCCCAUUUCCCUUUAAUUUCCUAUUACUUAAUACUUUUUGUUCUCUCUCCUCCAAUGUAGCUGUUUUUGCUUUUCUCUUGUGUUUGCCAUUUAUGGGCUCCUGAUAACUUGACGUGGCUGCUGACAGGCCAGAAGUUAAUAUGCCCAAUGUAUACAGGCGUGGCGUUGGACAGAUAAGACCAGGCUGAUACCCAGCAGGAGACUCACCCACACACGCCAGCUGUCACCAAAUAAUCUCGAUCUCUGGCUGAGCCAGCAGUGAUAUCUGCGCCGGAGAGAGAGGCAGAUCCAGAAAUAUAACAGAACAGGAGUCAGACAAGUCUGGUAGCGCAGGGAGAAAUUUUAUUGAAAUGUAGCCCUUUCUUCAACAAUGGAUCAAACAAAAGUGGGAAAACCCUACAAGAUUCACAUUUACAUUUCAUUGGAAAAAUACAGAU